This 498-nucleotide ribosomal RNA is filed under the name uncultured bacterium. Its description in RNAcentral is "partial 16S ribosomal RNA". It matches the Rfam family "Bacterial small subunit ribosomal RNA", at positions 28 to 523 of the family's 1533-position model. The record is from RNAcentral.
GAUGAACGCUAGCGGCAGGCCUAAUACAUGCAAGUCGAACGGGAUUGAGGAGCUUGCUCCUCAUGAGAGUGGCGCACGGGUGCGUAACACGUAUGUAACCUACCUUAAUCAGGGGAAUAGCCUCUCGAAAGAGAGAUUAACACCGCAUAAGAUCACACUAUGGCAUCAUAGAAUGAUCAAAUAUUUAUAGGAUUAAGAUGGGCAUGCGGAACAUUAGCUAGUUGGUAAGGUAACGGCUUACCAAGGCUACGAUGUUUAGGGGAUCUGAGAGGAUGGCCCCCCACACUGGUACGGAGACACGGACCAGACUCCUACGGGAGGCAGAAGUAAGGAAUAUUGGUCAAUGGGCGGAAGCCUGAACCAGCCAUGCCGCGUGCAGGAAGACGGCCCUACGGGUUGUAAACUGCUUUUGUACCGGAAUAAGCCUUUCUACGUGUAGGAAGCUGAAUGUACGGUAAGAAUAAGGAUCGGCUAACUCCGUGCCAGCAGCCGCCGUAA